RNAcentral lists this ribosomal RNA (550 nucleotides) under uncultured bacterium. RNAcentral's name for it is "bacterial SSU rRNA". It matches the Rfam family "Bacterial small subunit ribosomal RNA", at positions 133 to 682 of the family's 1533-position model. The record is from RNAcentral.
UUCCCGGGGAUACGCCCGCGAAAGGCGGAUUAAUACCCCAUGGACCCUUAGCCCGCAUGGGGCGGAGGGUAAAGCUCCGGCGGGAAUGGAUGGGCAUGCGUGCCAUUAGCUGGUUGGUGGGGUAACGGCCCACCAAGGCUACGAUGGCUAGGGGGUCUGGGAGGAUGAUCCCCCACACUGGUACUGAGACACGGACCAGACUCCUACGGGAGGCAGCAGUGAGGAAUAUUGGUCAAUGGGCGGAAGCCUGAACCAGCCAUGCCGCGUGCAGGACGACGGCCCUACGGGUUGUAAACUGCUUUUCCGGGGGAAGAAUAACCCCCCUGCGGGGGGGGAUGCCGGUACCCCGGGAAUAAGGAUCGGCUAACUCCGUGCCAGCAGCCGCGGUAAUACGGAGGAUCCUAGCGUUAUCCGGAUUUACUGGGUUUAAAGGGUGCGUAGGCGGGCGUUUAAGUCCGCGGUGAAAAGUCUGCGGCUCAACCGUAGGAUUGCCGUGGAUACUGGACGUCUUGGAUUCGGUCGGGGCGGGCGGAAUGCGUGGUGUAGCGGU